AUCUGUUGGCAUUCGUGCUGCCGGCUGCACUGCUGUUGGCUUCUUACCAAAUAAAUGCAGUACACAAGCUACGAGUUGGACCUCUGACCUAUUAAGCAAAUGGGCUUACAUAAAACUUUACCAGCCGUAACUGCGAGUGGAGGCAUGAAAAGGAAGACGGAGAGGGAGAUGGAGAGGGGAGAGGGGAGAAACUGCAGUAAAACAAAGCGUGUAGAAAUAAUGUGCUAAACGAACAAAGCUUUAGCAUGGGCCUGGGAAUCAACGAAAGUCAUUUGGCCUGUGGGCGGUUUUAAGCAAAUACAAAUAAAAUUAACUAAACUCAAAA
This is a long non-coding RNA of Drosophila innubila, 325 nucleotides long. RefSeq lists it as uncharacterized. The transcript has 2 exons. The record is from RefSeq and is a predicted model, not a curated record. Lineage: Eukaryota; Metazoa; Arthropoda; Insecta; Diptera; Drosophilidae.